CUCGUAGGUGGUUUGUCGCGUCGUCUGUGAAAUUCCGGGGCUUAACUCCGGGCGUGCAGGCGAUACGGGCAUAACUUGAGUACUGUAGGGGUAACUGGAAUUCCUGGUGUAGCGGUGAAGUGCGCAGAUAUCAGGAGGAACACCGAUGGCGAAGGCAGGUUACUGGGCAGUUACUGACGCUGAGGAGCGAAAGCAUGGGUAGCGAACA
This 208-nucleotide ribosomal RNA is filed under the name uncultured bacterium. RNAcentral describes it as "partial 16S ribosomal RNA". It matches the Rfam family "Bacterial small subunit ribosomal RNA", at positions 568 to 774 of the family's 1533-position model. The record is from RNAcentral.